AGCACGCCGCGGUGAAUACGUUCCCGGGCCUUGUACACACCGCCCGUCACACCAUGGAAGUCUGCAAUGCCCGAAGCCGGUGGCCUAACCACUUAUGUGGAAGGAGCCGUCUAAGGCAGGGCAGAUGACUGGGGUGAAGUCGUAACAAGGUACC
Molecule: ribosomal RNA, 154 nt
Filed under: uncultured bacterium
Lineage: Bacteria
Description: partial 16S ribosomal RNA
Rfam family: Bacterial small subunit ribosomal RNA
Source: RNAcentral